AGGGCGUAUUCCGAAAAGCCCGAUUUUGAACAGAGUAGGAA
Molecule: non-coding RNA, 41 nt
Organism: Myroides odoratus DSM 2801
Lineage: Bacteria; Pseudomonadati; Bacteroidota; Flavobacteriia; Flavobacteriales; Flavobacteriaceae
Source: Rfam